AUAACCAUCCUAUAAAUACUUGGCGAGCAUUUUUAAAAAUUUUAUAUUUCGAUUUGCCAGUACAGCUAGUUGCAACAUUUAAUAGAAAAAUUACACUAUUUGUAAAUUAUUUGAAUUUAGUAUCAUGACUAGUACAAGGUAUAAUAGUGGACGCAGCAAGCAGGAAAGAAAACACUUGAAACAAGUUAGGGUUGCAAAAGAGACCACUUUUUUCCAAAAAGAAGGGAAUGUGCAAAAUUUGAUAUUGAUGCAGAAAGCAAUAGUGAAUGAAGUGGAUAUAUAAUUAGAUAAAUAUAGUUGUAAGGAAGCUACACUGAGAAGAAAUCCUCUAUCUGCUACUUGUUACAUAAAUGUAUGCCAGACGCCAAAAAUAUAAUAAAAAAUACAAUAUAAAAACAAUAAAAAAAUCCUAAUUUUGUCGAAAA
Molecule: non-coding RNA, 425 nt
Organism: Parasteatoda tepidariorum (common house spider)
Lineage: Eukaryota; Metazoa; Arthropoda; Arachnida; Araneae; Theridiidae
Source: RefSeq, a predicted model, not a curated record